Molecule: small nucleolar RNA, 74 nt
Organism: Nycticebus coucang (slow loris)
Lineage: Eukaryota; Metazoa; Chordata; Mammalia; Primates; Lorisidae
Product: small nucleolar RNA ZL2
Exons: 1
Source: RefSeq, a predicted model, not a curated record
AGCCUCAAGUGAUGGACAAAUGCCUGGGGAGCACUAUGACUGAUUGGGAUGUGUUCAUACUGUCUGAUGGGCCC